Camellia sinensis is the source of this 3056-nucleotide non-coding RNA. NCBI's taxonomy places the organism in Eukaryota, Viridiplantae, Streptophyta, Magnoliopsida, Ericales, Theaceae. The record is from RefSeq and is a predicted model, not a curated record.
AUAGAAUUUUUCUUCUUCUCACACAGAUACAUCGAUCAGUUCUUCUUCUCAUACAGAUAUUCGACCACCAAACCUCACCCUACAUCACCUCACCUCACCUCAGCGCAGACCACCAACGUCGCUCGCCACCGCAACUGCCGCUCGCCACUGCUACCGUCACCGUCACCGUCAGACCACAGGUACUCUCUCCCUCUCGAUCUGUCUCUCUCUCACUCGCGGUUUCUUUCUCUUUGUUUCUCGCUCUGUCUACCUCGAUCACUCUCUCUCCCUCUCUGUCCCCCUUUCUAUAUUUCCCCUUUCUGAAUCUUGCUCUAGGGUUGUUAUGAUUUGUUCAAUUUAAAUUGGUAUUGAUUGCAAAAAAUGGGUUUGGUUGAAGUGGUCUAUUUCCCCCUUUCUGAAUUUAUUGUUUCCCUCUUGAUAUUUAAUGUUUUUUAUCAUCAAUUUCUACAUCUAGCUUUGAUAUAUAAUGCUUGUGUUUGUUAUUGAAUUAGAUUCUAGCUAUAAUAAUUUUCUUACUCUUUAGAAAUUGUUAUUUCACGGGUGAAGUAGACAUCAUCUUCAUUCCUUAUUGAAGCAGAUUUCUGCAGACAUUUUUUCUUAUGUAGUAAUUUUGACUGCACAAUUCUAUAGAGAGCUUAAGUGGUUAUUUGCAAAUCCUUGUGGUUGCAUAUAAAUAUACAUGAAUUGCUGUCAAUUGGUUUUCUUCCCUAUAUUCUAUUUGUGAAAUACUGAAGAUUGCAGAAAGAUAUGCAUGUCUGGGUUGGUUGAAAAUUAUUUCCUGUGUCAAAAUGACUACUGAAUGAAGGAAUUGGGCUUCCAGCUUCCUCAAAGAAAAGGUCAGUUGACUCAACUUGAUGACAAAGUCAUUUGCACCAUGUCAAUCGGGGUCAUUUUUUCAAAUUUCGUGAGUUUCUCCUCUGUUUUGCAGUAUGUCUAACAUGUUUGUUCAGUUAUAGAGAAUUGUAGAUAAAAAGAAUGAUUGUUAUUGUUUUGAUCUUUAAAUUUCAAUUGCUUAGUGCAUGAAUGUGAUACAAUUGGUAAUUUUCUUCUUUGGGUAGUACCAGUUGUACACAAGUAUUAUAAUUAGUUUUAUGAUUUAGCCGAUGCAUUAUAUGAUUUUAGUUUAUGAGCUUAUUUCAAAUCAUAUAUUACGCAUGAAUAGUACAGAUUUUGAGGUGAAAGAUUUUUAUUUAUAUUGCAUCUUUGAGUUACUUUACCACAGGUCUAUGUUUGAGGACAUGCCCACCAAUUGUUUGGUUAAAUUUCUCAAUGCCUAUUAUCAUGUCAAACUAUCCUAUUAAAUAAUGCUGGGUCAACACUUUUGGGGGCAUAAACGAAAAGCUACUAUGAAAGAUAAAGGUGGAAACAAAAGAGCUUAUACAAUGGAGGUUGAGGAAGAGGAAGAGGAGACAGAUGAUGAUGAUGAUGAUGAUGAGGAGGAGGAGGAUGAACUUGAAGCAAAAGCUUUGAGAAAGAAAACGGAAAAGGGGAAAGAUCUACUAUUAUAUGUAUUUUUGGUUGUAAUUCAUUUGAUUAGUAACUUACAUAUUUCAUGUUUAUUAUUAAACAGCACUUUGAGCCAUCAAAAGUUGGUAUUCUAGCUAGGUGCUUGUGCAUUCCGCUUGUUUCAAUUCGUGUUGGGAAGAUCAACAAGCAAGGGACUCUCAUGUGCCCAACUGGUACAAAGCUAGAACAGUGGAGCAGAUCGCGUGGUUCAUAAAUUACAACUUGGUUAAUGUGUAGAUGUUAUCCUGUAGAACUUGAAUGGAGGAAAGAUAGAACUUCCUUUUGGUAGCAGGAACUGUAUCAUGAGUUACAUGCCUUGGACAGAUUUGAACAAGAUUAUCGACGUAAGCAAUAGGAAGAGGACAACUGAAAUGCUUCUCAAAGAGUGUGUACUAUUAGGUGCUAUCCCAUUCUUUGCCGAUGUUGAGCGGCUGAAAGAUCUUGGUGUUGUGAAGUAAUCACCUUAACUGAGCCAUAUGAGACUUUGGUUCCAACAUCUCUAUAUCAAAUGAGUUUUCGUUUUUGUUUUGUUUUGUUUUUUUUUUUUUAACUUGUGCAUUUUUUUACAGCUUGGCAUGCUUUGUUAUCUGAAGUACAUCCAUUUAUUUUACUAAGUGCACUAAUUAAAGGCUGCUUUUAAAGUGCAUUCAUUCCCAGACUUAUUUGAGAAAGUAAUUCUUUUUGGCCUUUCACUCCAUCUGGAAUCUUGUUGGGUAUUUCUGAUUUGAUGGAAUGUGAGCUUUACCAUAUAAGUCUAAGGGGGAUAAUUUUUAUUUAUUUUUUAUUUUUUUUGAUUAGUUGUCUAACAUAUGAAUGUUAUGGAGAUGCAUAAACUAUUUUACGUAGAGGUUUGAACGCAGUUACCAGACGGAUGAUAUUGAGAUGCAUAAACAUCACAAACACUGAAAUAUGCACGUGGCUACCAAUUUGAAAACUACUUUGAAAUUUUCACUAUUCUAACGUACAGGCAUGAAAUUAACUCGAAAAAUGCACUUUUCUUACACUUAAGCUUGAAAAUAGGCCAUAUGAUGCCAAAAUCAUGUAACAAUCACGAGAAGGUCCGGGACACAUCUCAAACACCUUAAGAGGGACCAAUAUAAGUUAUGAAAACUUUCAAAACUAGCAUAGGACUCCCGGCUUGAAAACUAAGUUGAAAAAUGCACUUUUCUCACACAUAAGCUUGAAAAUCGGCCAUCAAGGGUCAAAAUCGUGUAACAAUCACGAGAAGGCCUGGGAAACGUCUCAAACACCUUGGGAGGGACCAAUGUAAGUUGUGGAAACUUACGAAAUUAGCACGGGAAUCUUGGUUUGAAAACUAAGUCGAAAAAUGCACUUUUCUCACACUUAAGCUUGAAAAUAGGCCAUAUGGGGCAAAAAUCGUGUAACAGCCACAAGACGGCCUGGGACAAACCUAAAACACCUCGAUAGGGACCAAUGUAAGUUGUGGAAACUUACGGAACUAGCUCGGGACUCCCGAUUUGAAAACUAAGUUGAAAAAUACACUUUUCUCACACUUAAGCUUGAAAAUAGGCCAUAUAGGGCCAAAAUCG